UUCCGGUUGAUCCCGCCGGACCUGACUGCUAUCGGAUUGGUACUAAGCCAUGCGAGUCAUUGUAGCAAUACAAGGCGGACGGCUCAGUAACACGUAGUCAACCUAACUCGUGGACGUGGAUAACCUCGGGAAACUGAGAAUAAACCACGAUAGAUCAUAGUGCCUGGAAUGGCUUAUGGUCCAAACAGUUUACUGCCAUGGGAUGGGACUGCGGCCUAUCAGCUUGUUGGUGAGGUAAUGGCCCACCAAGGCGAUUACAGGUACGGGCUCUGAGAGGAGAAGCCCGGAGAUGGGUACUGAGACACGGACCCAGGCCCUAUGGGGCGCAGCAGGCGAGAAACCUUAGCAAUGUGCGAAAGCACGACUGGGUCAGUCCGAGUGAUUCCUGAUAAAGGAGUCUUUUGCUUGUCCUAAAAGCACAGGUGAAUAAGGGGUGGGCAAGUCUGGUGUCAGCCGCCGCGGUAAUACCAGCACCUCGAGUGGUCAGGACGUUUAUUGGGCCUAAAGCAUCCGUAGCCGGCUCUGCAAGUCUUCGGUUAAAUCCACCUGCUCAACAGAUGGGCUGCUGGAGAUACUACAGAGCUAGGGAGUGGGAGAGGCAGACGGUAUUCAGUGGGUAGGGGUAAAAUCCUCUGAUCCAUUGAGGA
Molecule: ribosomal RNA, 647 nt
Filed under: uncultured archaeon
Lineage: Archaea
Description: bacterial SSU rRNA
Rfam family: Archaeal small subunit ribosomal RNA
Source: RNAcentral